GUUAAUGUAGCUUAAUAAAUAAAGCGAAGCACUGAAAAUGCUUAGAAGAAUCACGUGAUUCCAUGAACA
RNAcentral lists this transfer RNA (69 nucleotides) under Mydaus javanensis (Sunda stink badger). RNAcentral describes it as "tRNA-Phe". It matches the Rfam family "tRNA". Rfam says of the family: Transfer RNA (tRNA) molecules are approximately 80 nucleotides in length. Their secondary structure includes four short double-helical elements and three loops (D, anti-codon, and T loops). Lineage: Eukaryota; Metazoa; Chordata; Mammalia; Carnivora; Mephitidae. The record is from RNAcentral.